Cavia porcellus (domestic guinea pig) is the source of this 1816-nucleotide long non-coding RNA. RefSeq lists it as uncharacterized. The transcript has 2 exons. The record is from RefSeq and is a predicted model, not a curated record. Lineage: Eukaryota; Metazoa; Chordata; Mammalia; Rodentia; Caviidae.
GGGAGAGGAAGCCCCGAGCCUCGGACGGGGGCCAGGGUCCACCAGCAGGACAGGGGGGCUCUCAGCUGCACAGCCGGCUCCCAGAGGGGCCUGUAGGAAACGCUCAGAAAACAGGCAGAUGCUUUCUGUCCCCAGCUGGGGUUUUGUUAUGCAUUCUGGGCUGGCCUGAGCCCACAGCUGUCCCCCUGCACACCACAGCAAGAAGUUUAACAGCGACCUCUCCUCACUGCAGUCCACAAUGUUAUCCUCAGCUGCCGGCCACAAGGACCACAGGCACCAGGGGUGGAAGAGGAGCUUAUCUGAGGCCCGCGGAGACAGCGGGUCCUGUGUGUCAGUCUCCGGCAGAAGGCCUGCUCAGCCCCCAUCCAUCCUGGGUGCCUUGGGGUCACAGCACCAGUGCAGAUGGAGUCCACCUUGGGGGCGAGCCAGGCUGGCCUCCUGCUCUCAGGUCCUCGCCUCUGCCAGGACAGCUUGGAGCCAUGGGGAGCAGGCUGCCCAAGGCCUCAGCACACAGUGAACACGGAGGCGGCCUGGCCCUGGUGUUUCUCCUGCUCCGACUUGAGGAUGGGAACCAGGUUCUGGAAGGUGGGCCGGAAGGAGGCCUGGGCUUCCCAGCAGUUCUUCAUGAGGAGAUAGAUCUGGCGGAGGAGAAGCGGGCUGCAAGACUGCUGCUUCCUGCCAGCUCAGUCUGGGAAACGGACAGGGCGGGGCGGCUCACCUCCGGGGGACAUCUGUCUGGCCGGGGCAACCUCUCUCCUUGUUCCAGCAACUCCGUGAGCCUCAGCACAGUCAUCUGGCCCUGGGUGACGCCUAUGAGCUCCAUGAAUUUCUAGGUACAAGCCACAUGAGCUUUUUUUUUUUUCUUUUUUUCCCCCUGAGGCAGCAAAGACCACCAGGCAGAGGCCAAGAGCCUGGGAUUCCAAGGUCACAAGUUCUAAUCCCACCUCAACACUUCUCAGCUGUGUGAUUUUGGAUUUCUCACCAAGCCUCUCUGGGCCUCAGUUUCUCAUUCCUGAAAUGGGAUGCUAACCCUAACCACAUCUACCACUUUAGGUUGGGAUAAAGUUACAAAAAUUAACGGGGAGUAAGCCUCAGUCACAGGCUUGCUGUUAGAAAGCUUCUCAGGAAGUGGGUUUGAAUUCUGAGGACUAAAGAUUUCUGUAAGUUUUUUUUUUUUUUUCCGGUCUUUUUUUGAGACAGGGUCUCGCUAAUGCAGUUCAGGCUGGUCUUGAGCUCACUUUGUAGCCCAGGCUGGCCUAAACAUUGCAGCGAUCCUCUUGCCUCAGUCUCCUGAGUGCUGGGGUACAAGCAUGAGCCACCAGGCCUUGUUUGUAAUUAAUUUCUUGAAAUGAGGUUUUCAUUAUGUUGCCCAGAUUGCUUUUGUGAGUCCUAGACUCAAGCAAUCAUCUUGCCUUAGUCUCUGGAGUAGCUGGAUUAUAGCUGUGUAGAAAGCUUCCAAGGAAGGCACAAGUUUUUUCUUCAUUAAAUACAUCUUGCUUAGCCCUGCCCCUAACCCAGGCCUGGCCAAUCACUGAAACCCACGGAUAAGCAGUGAUUGGCUAGAAAGUGGAUACAUGAGCCAAGUUAGGCCAAUCAGAUAAAGUCCUGGGGUUUAUGUGCGGGGGGAGGGAUAAAGGAAGACCCUUGGUCCUCAUCAUUUCAACAGCGUUUCUGUUACACAGCCCUGCUGUAAGAGUAAUGGUACCCACCUGUCUCAGCCUUUGGGAGGCUGAGGCAGGAGGAUUGCAAGACUGAGCCUGCCUGACCAAUUUACCAAGACUAUGUCUUAAAAUAAAAAGUAAAAAUUUCUGCUGAA